UUACUUUUCUUUUAUUAACUUUACCUUUAGCAACCACAAAAUAAAUAUAAAAAGAAACAUAAUACAAUUACCAUAAUGUUAUAAUCUAUUUAGACAUAUAGAAAAGGUUUAUUCCUAUAAAAAGAGUGUAUAACAAGUAAAUGCAGAUAUUGGUGUUUUAAUGGUAUUUAUGAGUCUUCAACGUUUGUGACAUGGUGGUUGUAGUGCUUGUGUGCAGCUAUUGUUGGCACUUUAUGAUGGAUGGGUAUGGUGUCUGGUCGAUUAUGAUGGAUGGGUAUGAUUGAUCCGGCAAAGUUUUAUUGCUGAGAAAAAAAAAACACAUUAGUAAACAGGGAGCAAAAAAUAAUAAAUUACUUAUAUGUAAUCCAUUAAAAUUGUUUGAAUUUACUUUUCAUAGUCAACAAUAUGUGAUAACAAUGAUACGAUAAGACGUUAAUCUUAGAUUAUACCAAUUAUAAAUAAAUAAAUCCCUUACUUGAAAUUGUAUAGUAAUUUGAAGAAAAGGAACAUGGCUUAAAAGUUACACUAUAAUAUAUUUUGUCAUUUAAAUCCAAAGGAUUAAGAAACUUUUGAAGUGUAUAUAUAUAUGGGUUUCUGGUUUUUCAAAGUCAUUAAAAAUUAUCACACCUACAAACCUACGUAUAAAGAAAGGAGAUUGAGAGAUGGAAGUUCUUUCACAUUUUAGUCAUGUUCAUCCUCUAAUUUUUAAUGAUGAGAAAAGCCAUGAAAGUGAGGAGGUUUAUUGUUGUGCGUGUGGAGAGUUGGUGUCAGGUCCAAGGUUU
RNAcentral lists this long non-coding RNA (782 nucleotides) under Gossypium barbadense (sea-island cotton). Its description in RNAcentral is "long non-coding RNA (GBAR_LNC009710)". Lineage: Eukaryota; Viridiplantae; Streptophyta; Magnoliopsida; Malvales; Malvaceae. The record is from RNAcentral.